AAAUAAUUUGUAAAAAUCUGAAUUAUUCAUUUAAAAUUGAGUUUAGGGGAAAUGGCAUUCCCCUUAAUUCUGGAUAACGGAUCCCAUAUCUGUAAUACAUGUUGGUAAAUGCCUGUGUCAGCUAUAUCAUUUCAUUGCUCUAACUACCUACCACCAGCUACCCACCCCUUUCUAUUUUAAGCAAAGCUGCUAGCCUGUUUUCAUGAUAAGAGUUAGGUGCUCUUGCCAUUUCCCACCCAUGGGCCCUUCUUUACUGGAAGAGCUGCAGCUGACAUCCAGAGGCCCUGAGAAUUUGGCCAGUCACAGUGACAAGAAUUAGAAGAAUGUAUCAGGAGGAAGUAGCGGUUGGUGAGUCAGAGUGACUAAUCUCCUUCAUGUAACUUCAAGCCCUUUUUUUUCUCAUUCAGAUGGUAAUGCUUAAUAAUGAGAAAUUUCUUCUUCACAAUGGAAUUCUAGGAUUUUUUUUUUUUCUCAUUUUCCUUUCACUCUGGUCUGGGCGCUGAAGUGUCGGUGCAGUAGUCGUGUUGAAGUGAAAUGGGGGACCUCUCUUGUGCCCAGUGGAACAGCUUUCUGGCAAAGCCCCGUUGAUCUUCAAGGCUCGCUGAUUGCUGCCCUGAAUCUGUUGACCAAGACCAGUAUUCUGUUUUCUUAAAACAACCAAGUGGAGCUCUUGAAAAUCAUAUUCAGUAGGGUGGCUUUCCAGCAGAAGGAGGUGAAAAAAAAAAACAAGUGGAAAACUCCCUGGUGAGAAGAAUGCGCCAUUGCAAACAUCUCAGACAUGAGGCACCUCAGAAUGCAAAGUCACCUUUUAGACUCCUCACUAUGCAUCGUGUGCCACCAUUGUGCCAUUCACAAGAAACAACCAAGCAAUCUCAUCUGGGAACGAAUAAUACUUACACCGUGUGGGCUGCAGGUGGAUUGCCACAAUGCCAUUUAGAGAGCUGCCAUGUGUACUGGAUCAGAGGACACUUUAUACAGAGAUAUUUGGAAUAGUUUCUGUCCUUGCUGCCCCAGGGAAUUCUGCUGUCACCAGCCUCUGCAAUGGAAAUGAUUACAGUAGUCCAGUGUUAUUCUACCGCCUAGGCCACAAUGACACAUGAGACACACGUGAAAAUCGGCAGAACAGGAGUGACAUAUUUGUUCUCCAUCCAUGGCAGGACCUGCUGCUGCGUCUUCAAAGAGCCAAAAGUUCCUGUGUCUUGCUCUGCACUGAAAUGAGUGAAGAAAAAAUGAUUACUGAGGAGUUUAUAGGAUUAAAGGACAAGCUGAACUAACAAGCGAGAGGAUGACAGAAAACGCAGAACCCAUCCCCAUCAUGUACAUACAAUGGAGUGAAAAUAUGGCAUCUUUUAAAUAUGAUUCCACAGGCCAUCAUCAGACGUCAUCAGACAAGAAGCAUAUUCAAGCAUAUUCAUUUAAUAUACGAGCAGUAGCGUGCCCAUGGAAUUUUAAGCGUUUUCCAAUAUUGUUCGGAAAGUAAGAUUUCCCAUAAAUCCAGAGGAGGACAGCUCGAUGGAUAAGUCAAUUGCAUAGUAGAAUAUGUGCUGAUGUAAUAUAGAAAUACUACAGAUGGAAGUCUCGGAGAAAACAAGAAACGGAGACCCCCCCCUGAAAGAUUAUCCUUCAUCGGCCAACACUUGUCCAGGAUGAAGGAUCAGCACAGUCAUUGGUACAGUGAGGAUACAUGGAUAUUACAGACGGCAGGAGUCUUUGACUACAGUUAACCAGAGUCCAUGUUGCGUUUUUAUUGAGAUUAUUCAGCCGUGCCAAAAGCUUGGAAGAAAAAGAGUGAACAUCAACCUACACUUGAGCCCAGUAGGGCUCGCUCUUUCCAUAGCUGCUGAUUAUAUUGCACACUUGGGUGCCGCUGGUCAAAUGAUGCUGUGGAUGAAAGAAUUCAUGGUUAAACUGCAGUCACUGAACUCUAAUCCUGUGAGGAAUUAAAGGCAGAUGUGCACUCCAAACACUGUAUUUCCCAAAAGUGUUAAAACAAGUAUCAGAAGGACCAUUGAUUGGCCGUGUGAAGAGUGUGUGAAACAGCAACACAAUGUCUGGCUGCCAAGCCAUCGGAGGUGGAACCUAAUACCACUGAAGUGCCACAAAAUAUUGCCUGAAUGAGAGAUACAGGAAAUGACCUUCAAAGCUCUCCAACAUAAUAACAAAACCAGUGAGAAAGAGGUUUAAAAAAACUUUGGAAGACGUUUAAUUCUUUUGCAGUGAAGAUUGUCAUUUAUGUAGCAUGCCCAUAGCCUAAUGUACUUUAGGCCACUUGACAGUGCUCCUUCCUCCGCUGUCCAUGGGUCCCGUGCAACAUCUGCAUAUCACUUACUGUACCAUUCAAUGACACUUUAUGUCUCUCUCUCAAUGUGAUAGAAGUGAUAGAACUGAGCAGAGAAGCAUCAGAACCUCUUCCUGCUUCAGAAAAUUAAGUUUUUGCUGUUCUUUAUGGGCCUUGUCAUCUGAACCAGUUUCAUUAACAUCAUGAGAAUGUAGAAAGUAUGCACUUCAACAGUUGGAGAUCAAGCAGAACGGUGGGCAAAGAAUUUACGGUUGUGAAAUGUUUUAUAAACUCUUAUGUACAAUAAGAAUCCCUGGAAAAUAUGGUGGCUAGUUUAAGGGAAUGUGUGCAGAAUUGUAUAUGCUCAUAAUACAAAAGAACCAUCAAUAUCCAUUGGCACACACAAGGAACAUAAGGCAGGCAGAGUAUGGCACACACAGGGAGCAUAGGGCAGGCAGAGUAUGGCACA
This is a long non-coding RNA of Xenopus laevis (African clawed frog), 2747 nucleotides long. RefSeq lists it as uncharacterized. NCBI's taxonomy places the organism in Eukaryota, Metazoa, Chordata, Amphibia, Anura, Pipidae. The record is from RefSeq and is a predicted model, not a curated record. The transcript is spliced from 11 exons.